CAGUGUCCCAAUAAAACUUUAUUUAUGGACACUGACAUUUGAAAUUCAUAUAAUUUUCACGAGUCGUGAAAUAUUCUUCUUUGGUCCUUUCCCCCCCGCCCCACCAAUCCUCUAAAAGUGUAAGAACUAUUCUCAGCUCAUGGGCCAUGCAAAAAUAGGCAGCUGGUUGGAUCUCACUUGUGGGCUGUGGUUUGCCAACCCUCCUUUAGAGCUGGUUCUGCUGUUUAUCAAGUGUGUAAUCUUGGAUAGGUUCCCUGGAUAAACCUCAGUGUCCUCAGCUACAAGACGCGAAAAGUAAGGAGGAGUUCCUCCGUCAGGGACUGGGGGAUGCGAUGGAGUAACUGUGAAGUGUUUAGCAUGAUACUUACGUAGAUCACUCUUGGGAGUGGGAGGUGUCAUGAUAAGAUGAUGCUGAGUCCCUUGAAGUUGUUUGUCCUCCCAAAAUAUACUGAUAGGGGGUGCUUGUCACUGUGUAACAACCUCAGCCUUUUUUGCACUUGGUGCUAGUGAAAAGUUGAGGGAAAAUCCAACCAUGCCCACAGGACAGAAAUACUUUUUUUUUUUUUAAACCAAAGAAAAGCCUUUUUACAAAAUAGCAACUCAUCAGGGAAAAGAAAUGUCCGAACUAAAUGAGAGCAGGCUGCACGUUGGACCUGCUGACAUGAAGCCAGGGCAAGGUGCUUCCCCACUCUGGCCUGCGUUUCCUCCUCUGCAUAAGGAGAAUUUUGGAUUUGGUCCUCUCCCGGGUCAGUCCACCUCUAACACUCUGUCAUGCCAGGUGAUAACCAAAAUAUCUAGAUCCAGCAUUCAUGUCUGCAAUGUUCUUGCUUUGCUAGCAAGGCCCCUGCCACCAAGAGGAGAUCACACGUUUUCUAGAUGUCCUUUUUUACCUCCCCACAGGGUCACUGGGGCUUCCCUGUAGGUGAGGUCCUUGGGCAAGUCUACCUCUCUACACCUCAGUUUCCUCAUCUGUGAAAUGGGGAUAAUAACAAUGGUCUCAACAGCACGGGGUUGAGGGGAAAACGAAAUAGGAUGCUAGGUGCAAAGUGCAUAGCAUGGGACAAGAACUUUGCCAAAGUCAACGAAGAGCUCAGUGUUCUGCAUUGGUGCCCGCCUCCAUGCUCAGGUCCUCAAGAGACCCGUGACGGUCUUCCCUUGAUCUUGGCUUUGGUGUUGGUGAUGGCGGUAAGGAAUCAUCUAGUAGCCAAGUAGGACCUUUUAUUCCUGAGGACUAAUGAGACUGUGAACUUUGUGAAUCCUCCACUCCUAGCAGCCAGAAGACUCAGCCCAGGCCAGAGGUCGUGGUCUGUGGGGCUCUGGUGGUCAGCAGAAGAGGCCAGGAUAGAGCGAGACGGACAAUGACCACGAGCACAGAAAGCUGCAGAGGAGCAGGAUCCAGAAGCAGAAGCUUGUGACUUGGCACCUGUUUCCGGAACCCACUAUGGCCCAACCUUCUCAGAAGAUUUUGCACCUUGAGCCAAAGAGGAUGCAGGGCUCUUGGGACCCAAGAGCCUGAGUAGGGCUUCUGCCCUCCCUCUCCGGCCUGAAGUUUCCCAUUCAUCAGCUGGAACCUUCACACCUGCCCAGAGGACUGCUGACUCGCACUGACGGUGGCCACAAGGUGUGACCUUUCAACAUGAUGAUCCUGGGGCGUGAGACUUAGUGGUGGCUGUCCCCAAGAGCACGCCUGGCAAGAGUACCAGCUGGAAACUGCAUGAGCUUUCUGGGAUGAGGCAUGUGGCCUUUCUUCCAUUGCCUUUUAUUGGUAACAAGUAAGUCACAAAGGCUGGCUCAGUCUCAGGAGGAGGGGACACAGACUCCCGCCUUUCUCAAAUAAUGUAUAGAUUUGUUUAGAACCAUCACAUGAAUCAGUGAGAUGUGUGCUCAGUGAUGGUCACUGGGUGGGGAGGAAGCAGUCGGAACACAGACAUGGUAGCUGGAGCUCAAGCAACCAUCUUGGACCAUGAGGACUCCACGGACAGACACCAGGAGCCAACAGCACUGCACAGACAAUAGUGACCAUGCACAGUGAGUAGAAUCUCAACCUGACACAGGUGAGUCCUAAGAGCUGAGGAGGCCUUGUGUUGCCCUGGGCAUCAAUACCAGUGGUCAGUGCUGGCUGGGUCUCCUCCCUGUCUAUGAGAGCUCUGUGAGCUGCCGACCACGGCAGCAGCUGACUUGGGAAGCACCAAGGGGCUGGUCCAGGGCAGAUGUGCCCAGGCAGGUGGAGGUGUCUGCUUGGGGCAGGGCCAGCCCUGGAGCUACACUGGCCCCUAGGUAGGCCAGGUCGAGUGAGCUGGUGUGAUCACCAGUGGGUUGCUUCUAACCAUUGACAUCUUGGAGAGGGAGGUUUUGAAGUCAACUUUGCUUUAUAGAAACCGGCCCAAUUGCAGGACAGCUUUCUGGAGGGUCCCAAAAGUUGUGGAAUUGCCUGAGGUCUGGGGAGUAUGGACCAGGGCAGGAGAAACUCAGGGACUUGUUCCAAAAGUCUUCCAAUUUCUCCCACAGCCGUCACCCCAACCACCACCUAGGAAACAGGAAACCACUCCCCAAAGAAGAGUCAACAGAUGGUUCAUGGAACAACAAACAUAGGAACACUUGCUAUUCAAUAUGGCACUGGGAGUUGGGCUUGGAUACGCUCCAGGAUCCUUGAGUGACAGCAGAAAUAUGUCUGCGGCUGCCUCAGGCCAUUCAAUAGUAAGCUCAGCUGGUUCCAGGACAAAUCCUGUAGGAGGGGAGCACUCUCAAUGCUUGGAGGCCCCAUGGGGGUUCCACCAGACGCUGCCCAGACCAUCUGCAGCCAGGACAGCAGAGGCGGGGGCCCAGCAGCUGGGAAAAUGACUGUGGAACUAUUUCCCAGAAAAGAAUAAUGGAAAAUGGGGCUUAUUAGUGGGGAAAAGUGAAGAUUAUGCAACUAAAGGACUGGAUUUUCCAUACGAAGGCUUCUCUCCCUGUCUCUCAUUCUUCAUCUUGCUUUGAUUGCGAACAAAGCCCUGUCUUUUUCUAGACUGAGCAAAUGGUUUGUCCUCAAUGCUUUCUUGGGAACACUUGGCCCAAAACUCACCUUGGAUGAGACCUGAGAACACAACAGCAGGGGAAAGGCUCUCGGCCCCGGGCAUUUUGCCUUCUUAGACACAAAAAGUGUGAGCAGACUCCAUCUUAGCAUGGCUUGGGUUGCAGAGGCCCCAUAAGAGAACCAUGCUCCAUGAACAUCCUCCUAAGUCCAAAAUCCUCUGAAAACCUAAAGUUUAAGAAAAUCUGACCCAACUCCAACUACGUGAGGCUCUUUCUAGUCUUUGUUUAUCCCACAUUGUGUGAAUAUACAUACCUUUUUGCUGCAGAAAUGUCAAUGUGUGUUUGUGUACAGGAGGCUGCCCUCAUGUGGGUACAAUGCCCCACAGUACCCUCUUUAAAAACCCCCAGAUUUGGAAUAUGAAAAACACCUGGUCCCAAGAGGAUCAGACCAGGAAUUGUGAAUCCAUAUCAGAAAAAUGCAUAUUCUUCUUGUCCUUCUCUCAUUCUUUCUUUGUCCUUUUUCUCUC
Molecule: long non-coding RNA, 3542 nt
Organism: Homo sapiens (human)
Lineage: Eukaryota; Metazoa; Chordata; Mammalia; Primates; Hominidae
Exons: 4
Source: RefSeq, a predicted model, not a curated record